RNAcentral lists this long non-coding RNA (2834 nucleotides) under Ananas comosus (pineapple). RNAcentral's name for it is "long non-coding RNA (ACOM_LNC020731)". Lineage: Eukaryota; Viridiplantae; Streptophyta; Magnoliopsida; Poales; Bromeliaceae. The record is from RNAcentral.
UUGAAUUUUAUUUAGUGUUUGCUUGAGUGAGAAGAUUGGAAAGUUGUCAAUUUGAAUUGGAAAAAUUGUUAGGAUUUGGUUAGAUUUGUAGUUGAAUCCUAUUUAGAUAAGAAUUAAUAUUUAAAUCUGUUGAAGUAAAUUAAGAUUUAAAUAUUAAUUAGAGGAUAAACCUAACUAGAUUAGGAUUAAUAUUUAAAUCUAUUAGAGAUUGAUUAAGAUAAAUUUAGAUAUUAAUUGGAGUAGAAAUCCUAAAUAUAUUAGGAUUGGGGUACGUUUUAGUGGAGCCUUAUAAAUAGCUCUUUGUAGGUUUGCUUUUGAUGUGAAGUACGGGAGAGAGAGAGAGAGUCUCUUGGGUUGCCGUACCAGAGAGAGAGAGUUAUUUAAUUAUGCUUUGAGUGCACCUAGUGCACGGGUGCAUGUGAAGGAUUGUCUUCUUUAUGGGUUUAUAGAAGAUGAGAGAAGGGUAGAAGAGAUUCAGAAAGAGGGCUCGGGUUGUAGCUACUUUGUGGAGAAGAGGAGUCGGGUAUAAUCUUCUCUUAUUUAAUGAAUCUUAUUUUACCUGCAUAUUUUCCUCUUUUAUGAUUGUAUCAGCUUUUGUUGAGAAGACGGGUUUAUGGUAAAAACCCGAUUUGACGUUUCCGUUGCGGAAUCCCAACAAUCGAUACAGGAUCCACAGCAGUCGGUAUCAGAGCGGGUUGCGGAUUCACGAGAUCCGGUACCGGGGCGAGUACCGGAUUCCCAACAAGUGGUAUCAGAGCCGAAGGUUACCGAUCUGAGGGAGAGAUCGACGAAGAUGGCCACGAAAUUCGAAAUCGAGAAGUUCGACGGCAAGAACAAUUUCGGAUUGUGGCAAAUUAAAGUACGGGCGAUCCUCGUACAGCAAGAGUUAGAUGAAACGUUGAACGGAAAAGAGGCGAAGCCGGCGGAGGUCACGGAUACGGCAUGGACGAAGAUGGAGCGGAAGGCGCUGAGUACGCUUCAUCUAUUAUUAGCAGAUGAGGUUCUUUACAACGUAGCCAGUGAGACGACACCAGCGAAGUUGUGGAAGAAACUAGAAGAUCUAUAUAUGACCAAGUCUUUGACGAACAGGUUAUAUUUGAAGCAGUGAUUGUUUACGCUGCGGAUGCAGGAAGCGGCGAGCCUACAUGAUCAUCUGAACUAGUUCAACAAGGUGGUGGCCCAGUUGACUAGCAUCGGAGUCAAUCUAGAUGAUGAAGAUAAGGCGCUGAUUUUAUUAUCUUCGCUACUGACGAUAUAUGAGCAUCUGGUGACCACGUUGCUUUAUGGCAAAGAGUCCAUAAGCGUGGAGGCGGUCACGGCGGCGCUUCUCUCGAACGAGAUGCGGAAGAUGACUCAGGAGUCCGGCACGCAAAGUCAGGAUGUAGGACUGGUGGUGACUGCGAAGAAGGAGGCGAGAAUAUCGGCGAUCGGAUAUCAACAGAAAAAACCGCUAUUUGAGGUAGAAUGCUUUUACUGUCACAGGAAGGGGCAUAUCAAGCGCAAUUGUCGAAAACUUCAGGAUGAUCUGAAGGAGUUAAAGCGACAGAAGGAGCAAACAGUCGUGAACCAGGACGAGACGGUAUCAGCGACGGCCCAGACAGCAGAGUCGGAGAUGAUCGAUUCUGAUGUGCUGUAUGCUGCGACCGGAGGUGCGAAAAUUUCGGACGAUGCGUGGAUGCUCGAUUCGGCGUGUUCUUUUCACGUUUGCCCGGAGAAGGAGUCUUUUGCCACCUAUAAGGCGAUCAAAGGUGGAAAGGCGCUGAUGGGGAACGGGACAGCGUGCAAAGUUUUGGGAGUCGGCACGGUGAAAAUCCGAAUGCACGAUGGGGUCGUGAGGACGCUGACAGGUGUGCGGCAUGUUCCUGGAUUGAAGCGAAAUUUGAUCUCGUUAGGGGCGUGGGUUGCGAUAUUUCAGCUUCAGGUGGAGCUAUGAGGGUCCGAAAACGAGAUCGGAUCGUGUGCGAGGCGAACAAGCGUGGGAACUUAUACGUUCUGAACGGAAGCACAGUCAGAAUGGGAGCGAAAACGGUUUGGGUUCCAAAAGUUCGCGGAUGUGCAGUUGCUCGAGACGGAGCGACGAAUGCGGCGACAUCGAGCGGAGGAGACAAGCUCAAGGUGGAGUUUGCAUGGUGAGCUCGACGUAGUGGUUGAAAAUUACAAAUCAAACCAAGGUGGAGAAUGUUAGGAUUUGGUUAGAUUUGUAGUUGAAUCCUAUUUAGAUAAGAAUUAAUAUUUAAAUCUGUUGAAGUAAAUUAAGAUUUAAAUAUUAAUUAGAGGAUAAACCUAACUAGAUUAGGAUUAAUAUUUAAAUCUAUUAGAGAUUGAUUAAGAUAGAUUUAGAUAUUAAUUGGAGUAGAAAUCCUAAAUAUAUUAGGAUUGGGGUACGUUUUAGUGGAGCCUUAUAAAUAGCUCUUUGUGGGUUUGUUUUUGAUGUGAAGUACGGGAGAGAGAGAGAGAGUCUCUUAGGUUGCCGUACCAGAGAGAGAAAAAGAGAGAGAGAGUUAUUUAAUUAUGCUUUGAGUGCACCUAGUGCACGGGUGCAUGUGAAGGAUUGUCUUCUUUAUGGGUUUAUAGAAGACGAGAGAAGGGUAGAAGAGAUUCAGAAAGAGGGUUCGGGUUGUAGCUACUUUGUGGAGAAGAGGAGUCGGGUAUAAUCUUCUCUUAUUUAAUGAAUCUUAUUUUACCUGCAUAUUUUUCUCUUUUAUGAUUGUAUCAGCUUUUGUUGAGAAGACGGGUUUAUGGUAAAAACCCGAUUUGACGUUUCCGUUGCGGAAUCCCAACAAUCGAUACAGGAUCCACAGCAGUCGGUAUCAGAGCGGGUUGCGGAUUCACGA